UACGGAGGGUGCAAGCGUUGUCCGGAAUCACUGGGCGUAAAGGGCGCGUAGGCGGCUCAUGAAGGCUGUGGUGAAAGUCCGGGGCUCAACCUCGGAUCGGCCGUGGCGACUCGUGGGCUGGAGCACUGUAGAGGCGGGUGGAAUUCCGGGUGUAGCGGUGGAAUGCGUAGAGAUCCGGAAGAACACCAGUGGCGAAGGCGGCCCGCUGGGCAGUGGCUGACGCUGAGGCGCGACAGCGUGGGAGCAAACAGG
Molecule: ribosomal RNA, 252 nt
Filed under: uncultured bacterium
Lineage: Bacteria
Description: partial 16S ribosomal RNA
Rfam family: Bacterial small subunit ribosomal RNA
Source: RNAcentral